UUCUUUGCUGACGAGUGGCGGACGGGUGAGUAAUGUCUGGGAAACUGCCUGAUGGAGGGGGAUAACUACUGGAAACGGUAGCUAAUACCGCAUAACGUCGCAAGACCAAAGAGGGGGACCUUCGGGCCUCUUGCCAUCGGAUGUGCCCAGAUGGGAUUAGCUAGUAGGUGGGGUAACGGCUCACCUAGGCGACGAUCCCUAGCUGGUCUGAGAGGAUGACCAGCCACACUGGAACUGAGACACGGUCCAGACUCCUACGGGAGGCAGCAGUGGGGAAUAUUGCACAAUGGGCGCAAGCCUGAUGCAGCCAUGCCGCGUGUAUGAAGAAGGCCUUCGGGUUGUAAAGUACUUUCAGCGGGGAGGAAGGGAGUAAAGUUAAUACCUUUGCUCAUUGACGUUACCCGCAGAAGAAGCACCGGCUAACUCCGUGCCAGCAGCCGCGGUAAUACGGAGGGUGCAAGCGUAAUCGGAAUUACUGGGCGUAAAGCGCACGCAGGCGGAUUGUUAAGUCAGAUGUGAAAUCCCCCCGG
This 530-nucleotide ribosomal RNA is filed under the name Escherichia coli. RNAcentral's name for it is "bacterial SSU rRNA". It matches the Rfam family "Bacterial small subunit ribosomal RNA", at positions 81 to 608 of the family's 1533-position model. Lineage: Bacteria; Pseudomonadati; Pseudomonadota; Gammaproteobacteria; Enterobacterales; Enterobacteriaceae. The record is from RNAcentral.